GAUGAACGCUGGCGGCGUGCCUAAUACAUGCAAGUCGAGCGAACGGACGAGAAGCUUGCUUCUCUGAUGUUAGCGGCGGACGGGUGAGUAACACGUGGAUAACCUACCUAUAAGACUGGGCUAACUUCGGGAAACCGGAGCUAAUACCGGAUAAUAUUUUGAACCGCAUGGUUCAAAAGUGAAAGACGGUCUUGCUGUCACUUAUAGAUGGAUCCGCGCUGCAUUAGCUAGUUGGUAAGGUAACGGCUUACCAAGGCAACGAUGCAUAGCCGACCUGAGAGGGUGAUCGGCCACACUGGAACUGAGACACGGUCCAGACUCCUACGGGAGGCAGCAGUAGGGAAUCUUCCGCAAUGGGCGAAAGCCUGACGGAGCAACGCCGCGUGAGUGAUGAAGGUCUUCGGAUCGUAAAACUCUGUUAUUAGGGAAGAACAUAUGUGUAAGUAACUGUGCACAUCUUGACGGUACCUAAUCAGAAAGCCAUGGCUAACUACGUG
Molecule: ribosomal RNA, 497 nt
Filed under: uncultured bacterium
Lineage: Bacteria
Description: partial 16S ribosomal RNA
Rfam family: Bacterial small subunit ribosomal RNA
Source: RNAcentral